This 207-nucleotide ribosomal RNA is filed under the name uncultured bacterium. Its description in RNAcentral is "partial 16S ribosomal RNA". It matches the Rfam family "Bacterial small subunit ribosomal RNA", at positions 1294 to 1500 of the family's 1533-position model. The record is from RNAcentral.
CGGAUUGAAGGCUGAAAUUCGCCUUCAUGAAGCCGGAAUUGCUAGUAAUGGCAGGUCAGAAUACUGCCGUGAAUACGUUCCCGGGCCUUGUACACACCGCCCGUCACACCAUGAGAGUUGGGAAUACCCGAAGCCUGUGAGCUAACCGUAAGGGAGCAGCAGUCGAAGGUAGAAUCAAUGAUUGGGGUGAAGUCGUAACAAGGUACC